CAGGUAUCGCACGGCGUGGCUAAUCGCUAUCAACCACGUACUGAUCGUUAAUCCGGGGGCCCGUGGUAUCAGGGGCACUCAUCAGUGACACCAGGUCAUGCUCAUGUGUUUCAAAGGCAUGGGGGAGGGGUAGACGUCACCAGGGGUAUCAAGGACAGCCUGAAACUUCCGAGAAGCAAAGUCCUUGUGUCCGUCCAAGGCUGAGCUGUCCCUCUGGUCCUGGAGAUGAGCUGAUGCCCACUGUUUUGUUUCAGCCUGAAAAAAAAAGCACAAGCUCCAGCAAAAUUCCACUAUUCCUUACAUUUUGGUGUAUAGUGUCCAGUUCUGGGCCCCUCAGUUCAGGAAGGACAGGGAACUGCUGGAGAGAGUCCAGUGCAGAGCUACGAAGAUGAUUACAGGAGUGGAGCAUCUCCCUUAUGAGGAAAGGCUGAGGGAGCUGGGUCUCUUUAGCUUGGAGUAGAGGAGACUGAGGGGUGACCUCAUUAAUGUUUAUAAAUAUAUAAAGGGUGAGUGUCAUGAGGAUGGAGCCAGGCUCUUCUGGGUGACAACGAAUGAUAGGACAAGGGGCAAUGGGUUCAAACUGAAGCAUGAAAGGUUCCACUUAAAUAUGAGAAGAAACUUCUUCUCGGUGAGGGUAACAGAGCACUGGAACAGGCUGCCCAGGGAGGUUAUGGAGUCUUCUUCUCUGGAGACAUUCAAAACCCGCCUGAACGCUUUCCUGUGUAACCUCAUCUAGGUGUUCCUGCUCCAGCAGGGGGAUUGGACUGGAUGAUCUUUAGCGUUCCCUUCCAAUCCCUUACAUUCUGUGAUUCUGUGUAAUGUGAACUACUGUAUGUUAAGAAAGUUAAUGCACUUUCAUGCCAUAAAGACUGCUUGACAUAACAGCCAUGGAAGGGAAUUUCCCUGACAGUGUACAGCAGCUCUGUCCAGCUUUGUAUGCUAAAUGGCUCUGUGCAAGGUUUUGCAGCAGCUCCAGCAGCCCCAGCCCCCAUCCUGCCCUUUCCUGGGCACCUUCCUGGGCACCACGAUACAGGCAGGAGGGAGCCCUUGCAGAAGCACAGCAGUUAUGGAUGGAGGCUGAGCUCUUCUUACGCCAAGGUCAGAGCAGGAGGAUGACGUACAGCGACAUAAAGCCCUUGGAAGUCCAGUGUCCCUCGGUGGCCUGUGGUCCACAAUGCUCAACCCUCGACUCCAGCUCAGUGUGGAGGAGGGUCCGGGAUGCCCUCAGCUGCCUGCUGGGGCUGGCUCUCACUGCUCCUUCAACCAGGACACCUCCAAAUGGCAGGCGAUGUGCCAAUGGGAGGAAGAAGGCCACAGGAGGAUGAAGAUGUAGAAGAUGUAUCCUCCCCCUCUGCAGCAAGGCAGAGAGGGGAGGUGGAAGGGAGAGAGCAGGGGGUUUAAUGUAAGCUGACAUCACAUGGCUGCCGUGGCUUUUUUGAUCUUGACAAAGGCAGACGGUUCCGCUCGUUGCCAGCAUGAGACAAAUUACAGGUGAAGCAGAAGAGAUUACAGGAUAUUUCUGGUUGUUGUUGAGUUUGGUGGGGGGAAGGGAGGAUGAAUCCAGGGCAGACAUAUUCUAAAGAAGGGAGGCAGGCAGAUGCAGUAAAUAAUGAGAACCAGUUCCCGAGUUGGGGGAGCAUAGACAGCAAUUUGGACAACACUGCUUUUGGGCUGCUGAGUGUGUAGAAAUACUCUAAAAGCUGCAGCACCCACCUGAAAAGUGUUUCUCCUCUUUCAUCCCCCUGUUACUGCCCAUUGCCUGCAGAAAGACCUGGGUGGCUUCAGUGUCUGAUUAGGGACAAGCUCACUGUCCUCUCUGUUGUUCCGGGUUUCUGGUGACACCAGUGUCCAGAUGAGCUACCACCAAUCCCACAGUUAUUUUUCCUUGUCCCCAUCAGGUUUCCUGGCCGUCCCUUGCCAGACUUCCCUCCACAAGGCUGACCCCGCCGUCCCACAGGGACACAGAGAUUCGCCCCAGUCCCUCCUCUGUGUGCCUCACCCUCCCUGCACCCUUUUGCAGGAGGGGACACUCCCCCCAUAGCCCCCUUAUGAACAAAGGACCCUUGGGUGCAUGGCCCACCUGAGGGUGACUCGGAGGGGGCAAUAAUAGUGCGGAUGGUCCCUGCCUGAAAGUCCUGGCUUUGGCACAGCCAGUUUCCUUCUGGCAUGCAAAGCCAUUGCCUGACAGCCGGCGUGGUGAGCUACACCAGGCAGAUUCACUUUGCUUUCCUUCCUCUUUGAAAUGCCCGCAGGGCUGCUCUGUGGGGACGCAAAGCCUGCAGAGCAAGCUCAGCUCUGUGGGGAACCAGGGGGGAGAACAGGAAUCAUCAUCCUGCACCCUUGUUGGCUAUUUACCCAUCUGUUUAAAACAGAUCUAAUGUCCAAAGGUAGCAUUUACAUUUCAUGGUAGAGGAUGGCAUACGGAGGUGGAGACUUCAGACUGGCAACAUGCCUGCGGCUCUUGUCUAGAUCUGUAGAUCAGUAAGGAGAGGAAGGGAGAGGGAUGAGACAUGCUUGGUGUUGCAGGCUGGGGUGUAUUUUACAUAUCACUGCACGACUAUGCUAGGCUGUUUCACCUCUCUCUGCCCCACUUCCAGUUUGCAAAGCAGGAAUAUGAGUUGAUCUCUGUUUCUGAGCAGUGCAGGAGAGUUGAAGCGGGGGUAUUAGUGCACUGUCCCCCGGCACAGGCAGAGAGCAGGGCAUGAUACAGAAGGGGAGAGCUCCUGAUUUCACUCUCUGGGCUAUUGUACAUUGCUCUGGUGGCACAAACCAUUUCAAAAAUGAGUAGAGGUGUAAUGUGGCCCCUGUGAAGAUGCACUGGUGCUGCCAAUGAAGGCAAUUAGCAUCAGCAAGACUUGGCCUGGUGUGCUGAUCUGACUGAAAGCAAGUUAAUUUUGUUCAUACAGUUAGAAACUUUUCUUUUUCAUAGCUAACACAGUCAUUGUUUUGAUUUAGUUUGAGAAUAAUAAGAUAACAUGUUUUUCUUCAAGUAAUUUUCCAGUGUUUUUGACUUGUAAUGAAGAGAAUGUUAGAACUUACUGUUCUUAGUUGUUGUCUGGGAGACCAAGAUCUUUCUGGGCUCUCUAUCUACAGGUGUGAGGCAGCUUGGAAGAGGGGCAUGGAUGGGACAGACCUUGACUGACAUCCAGGCUGAUCAGUGAGAGUAUUCCAUGCCAUUAAUGUCAUGCCUUGUACGUAAUGGAGUUGAGUUUUCCAUCUCGGGAGACCUGUUCUGGUUCUGCUCUGUUCCAGUUGGGAUCUGUUUGUGAGUUCCUUUAGUUUGGCCUGUUGGCUGUUCUGUCAUUUUGCAGUGGCCUCUGAGUCUUUCUGCUUUUUUGGCUUUUGUCACUCUCUCUCUGGGAUCAGCUGUUUGGGACCAGGAUACUCUCUUCCCAGGACUGGCUGCUCAGCAUGGAUGAAGUUCAUGAGGAACUGCAUUUUCCCCAGACAGACAGAGGAGCAAUGGAGACAGGCUUUGGGGAUGGUCUCAGGAGCAAUGCUGACCCCAGCAUGGUCCCAGUUAUCUCAGCACCCACCCCCAGACCUUCUGGCAGUGAUGGGUUCAUCCCAACCCCGCUCAGCAUGAGUUCUGUGAGAUGUCACCUGGCCAGUUCUGGGCUGACCUCUUGCAGUGCUGCUCAGGAAGCAUGCAGAACACAAACUCAUGUAUUUGGUUUUGCUUGUUCUCUCACUAGUAGAUGAAAAUUAUAUCAUUUGCAGCAAGUGCAAAUUAUUAGGGAAACUAAUGACGUUUCCACAUAAGUUGCUGGCAACUUCAGCUUCCUUUGGCAAAGUCUCUCCCCAGCUAUCAUUAAACCCAAAGUAAAUCAGCUUUUUGCAUUCUGCUCUUUAAUUUAAUUAACCAUGUACAUUUCCUCAGCUUUAUGAUCAACUCAUCAAAGCUUCUCAAAGGUGUUUCCUCAUUUGAAGCUGCAGUAGCACCCAGAAGGCAGGUUACUCUGCUUUCCCACCAGAGUAUCCAACUGAUGUCCUGUCAUGCAUUCAGGGGACCUUCUGCAUCCUGCAGCCACUCCCUCACCUCCAGCAGCUCAGCAGGGAAGGAUUUCUGUGACUCUUGCUGGAGUUUUGUCCUCUUCUGUGGACCUUGCGGGAGGCUAGUCUCAUAAAGUCCACCUCCCAUGCCUUUACCUAGCUUGAGAGUGUAGUAUUUGGGGGACUAGUACUGCCUUAAAGAUGGGCAGGGACUUGUGUCUGAUCAUCUCAGGAGAUGCUGAGAAAAGCCUAAAGUACACCAAAGAACAGUGAGGAAACUUGUCAGGAAAAAUUGGAAUAAUUCUUAAUCAGGCUUGGGAUUAAGCCGAGCUCAGUAUGUCAUUCAUGCUGUGAUUUAUGGUCAUGUUACAAGCAGGAAGUGUUUGUCUGAGGUUGCACAAACAUCUCCUCUUUUUCCAGACAGUGCUUUUGUCUGAGAAGGGUUUUGUGACACCUGCUCUGUCUGGGUGUCCCUCUCUUGUCAAAUCUGACCCUGCGCUCUCCUUCAUUGCACAGGUGAAUUUCACAGAAUCACAGAAUGUUAGGGAUUGGAAGGGACCUCAAAAGAUCAUCUAGUCCAAUUGAGUCGGAGGCUCGGUGGUGGGGCAGGUAUCCUGGGGUGAACAGCUUUGGGGGGCUCAUGUGUGCACAGAUGCUCUGGGGCUUCCUCCAAGCCAGUGGAAGGGGCUGUGAGCGCCCCAGGCACUGGCCAGGAUGGUACCCACAUGCUUAUGCCUGAAAGAUGCUGAGUGGCAGACGGCGGCCUUAUUCAUAGUAAAAGCUGAACUGCAGCUGAGGCAUUUCCAUGUGGUUCGAGCUGUCUGAGACGCGUUGGUGCCUGGAGCCAUCUCAAUGCUGCAGCUCUUGUCGGAAGCCAAAGGAUGUGACAGCACCUGAGAGCCCUGUCACAGGCAGUAACACAGCUGCCACAGUGUCAGAGACCACCAUAGGGCAGGGAGGCUGAGAGCACAGCUCCAGCAGCACGGUGCCUGCUCCCCAUUUCCUGCUGCCCCCAAGGGCGCUUCAAACUCAGCCUGGGGGAUUUCCCCUUGAAGCAUGUUGAGCCAUGGCUUGCAGAGCCCACCUGUGUAUUGACAGCUGCAGAGAAAGGUGAUCGCUUCUGCUCGCUGUGCCCUCCCAGUGCUGGCAUGGCAGGGAAGGGAGGCAGGGGAAAAAAUGACCCCAUGUUACAAAACUGCUGCUGUUCUGGAGCUCUGGCUGCAGAAGUAGCAUGCAAGCAUGGAGCCUGAGCUUAAACCCAGGGAGAAGUUGCAGCCUGAUGGACACAUGCUGGCUCUGGUAUCCCCCACGGGCAACCUAGAGCAGAGAGCUGGGACAAAUGGUUGUCGAUGGGGGCAGAUCACACACAUUUCAGCACAAUGUCCUCCAGGAUGCCUGGCCCAGCAGGCCCUAAUAGGGUGGCACUGCUCUCUUGGAGAAAUUAUCUCCCACCUCAUGCCAGCCACCACUGAUCUUCCUCUCAUUUUCUCUGCAUACCUGGAAAGUGGUUUACCUUCUGCCAUCUCAAAAGUUCUGCAUCUUUGCCUGCCCUUAGGAUUUGCUCUGGGAACUAAAUAAAUGAUAUCCUUUCAACAUUAUUUUUUAAAAAAUCUCUUUCGUUUUUGGUUUGUCCAAAUCACAUGUUUCUCUGCCAGUAUGGUCAAAACCAUGAGGCUUGUGUUUUCCUCCCACUGCAGUGGGAUUAGUGAAGCAGUUACUGGACUGAUGGUCAAGAUGGGUAUCACAGCUGAACUUCAGCGAAGUUAAAAUUAAGGUGCAAUUGCAUGCUCCCCUCUGGAGGCACAUGGCCAUCAUGUGGAGUGCCCACCUUGCUCUAGCAAACCAAGAAGCAGCUAGCUAACUCUAAUGGAUCUUGUUCU
RNA transcript from Columba livia (rock pigeon), 5873 nucleotides. It is a transcript of the gene named small integral membrane protein 45, with no coding region annotated. The record is from RefSeq and is a predicted model, not a curated record. The transcript is spliced from 2 exons. NCBI's taxonomy places the organism in Eukaryota, Metazoa, Chordata, Aves, Columbiformes, Columbidae.